UGGGGCGAGUGAUUUCUGUUUGCCUUAACAACCUUGAUGUGAUGCUUCUCCUUAUCGCUGGGUCAGUGGAGGCUAUGUGGCUAUGUGGCUGUGUGCCGUGUGCUUCAGCCAACACUGGCCCGUGUGCUUCCUUUGAAGGCCACACAGGGGUAGUCAUGCUUCAAACCCCUCAUAACCUCUCCUGUCUAAGCCGGACUGUUUUUAAGGGCUUGAUUGUUUACAGUAAUGAGUUCUCCAAAGGCGAACAGGUGUGCGAGCUGUGCUGUGUGUGUGUGUGUGUGUGAUUGAGUAUGUGUGUGUGUGUGCAAGUAUGUUUGUGUUUGUGUUAUUGUGUAUGUGUGUGUGUGCGGCGUCUGUGUGUGUGUGUGUGUGCGUGAGAGAGAGAGAGUAUGUGUGUGUGUGUGUGUAAGUAUGUGUGUGUGUGUGUAUGUAAGUGUGUGUGUGUGUGUGUGUGUGUGUGAGAGAGAGAGACAGAGAGAGAGAGAGAGUAUGUGUGUGGGUCUUAUUUGGAUUUUGGACUAAUUAUUCUUAAGCAGUUUUGGUUGACUUGUUAAUGAGCAAAAAUGUUGUGAGGGCAAAGGGUUGUUCAUUGGCUGAACUUGUGUGACUUUGUGUGACGUAUUUAAGGUAAUUUAAUGAACAUGGCUGUUGAAGGUGUGUCUGCUUAUGAAGUGUGAGAUUGGGUUCAGGUGAGUGAGAAUAGUUUAGGUUGGUCAGAGUGAAUGAUGUAUUUAGGGCUGUAGGAGGUUAUAUGUUGGGUUGUGUGUCUGUGUUUGAUAGCGUAUGGCAUUGUGUGAGAUUGUGUUGGGUUGUGAGUCUGUGUUUGAUAGCGUAUGGCAUUGUGUGAGAUUGUGUGUGUGUGUGUGUGUGUGUGUGUGUGUGUGUGUGUGUGUCUGUGUUUGAUAGCGUAUGGCAUUGUGUGAGAGCGUGUUGGGAGUCUGUGUUUGAUAGCGUAUGGCAUUGUGUGAGAGUGUGUUGGGAGUCUGUGUUUGAUAGCGUAUGGCAUUGUGUGAGAUUGUGUGUGUGUGUGUGUGUCUGUGUUUGAUAGCGUAUGGCAUUGUGUGAGAGUGUGUGUGUGUGUGUGUUUGAUGGCGUAUGGCAUUGUGUGAGAGUGUGUUGGGUUGUGAGUCUGUGUUUGAUAGCGUAUGGCAUUGUGUGAGAGUGUGUUGGGUUGUGUGUCUGUGUUUGAUAGCGUAUGGCAUUGUGUGAGAGUGUGUGUGUGUGUGUGUGUUUGAUGGCGUAUGGCAUUGUGUGAGAGUGUGUUGGGUUGUGUGUCUGUGUUUGAUAGCGUAUGGCAUUGUGUGAGAGUGUGUGUGUUGGGUUGUGAGUCUGUGUUUGAUAGCGUAUGGCAUUGUGUGAGAUUGUGUGUGUGUGUGUGUGUGUGUGUGUGUGUGUGUCUGUGUUUGAUAGCGUAUGGCAUUGUGUGAGAGUGUGUUGGGUUGAGUGAUUUGGUGUCUGGUAGUGUCAUGCGUGAGAUGGUGUGAGAUUAUUACCUGAGGGAUGCUUUAAAAGGUGAAUGUAUGACAGUGUAUUAUGAUGUGUUAUAAUGUAUAAGGUUAUGACAUUGUAUAAUGACGUGUAAUAUUGUAUGAGGUUAUGACAUUGUAUAAUGAUGUGUUAUAAUGUAUGAGGUUAUGACUGUUACGACCCUGUGGGUCUGUCUAUGUAUUUUUGCCUGUUCUUCUGUUUUGUCUUGUGUGUCUUGCAGG
This is a long non-coding RNA of Clupea harengus (Atlantic herring), 1709 nucleotides long. The record is from Ensembl. NCBI's taxonomy places the organism in Eukaryota, Metazoa, Chordata, Actinopteri, Clupeiformes, Clupeidae.